Non-coding RNA from Callithrix jacchus (white-tufted-ear marmoset), 864 nucleotides. The record is from RefSeq and is a predicted model, not a curated record. NCBI's taxonomy places the organism in Eukaryota, Metazoa, Chordata, Mammalia, Primates, Cebidae.
AGUUAUUUUCCCAUUUAAAACUAAAAACAAAACCUUGCUACAGUAUUACGUUUUAAGUAGGGUCUGAACAAAUUUUUUGUUUACUCAGACCCCUCUUCCACUCUUAAACCUAAACCUCCACAGCCUUCAUGUAAAUGAGACAGCCUGGGGGAACAGUCCUCCCCUCUGGCAUCCAGGCAACCACUUGGCUCACAAGAGCAAUCGAGUAUCUCCGGCUGGAAAGUGAAUAGAGCACUCUUAUUUCCCAAAGGAAAGGAGAAAGUCCGCAUCCCAAACAAGUGCAUCCUUCCUCGAGGGCCUCCGAACUGCCACGUCUGGUCCUCUCUCAACGCCGAAAACUAAGAGCAGGUAAAGGAGAUGCUGAUGGACGUGCCCCCUGUGAAGCUGACCUGGGUUAGCCAAGGUCCCAGCCUUGGUCCGUAUGUCUAAAGUCAGAAGUCGUGUCACUUGGACUCUGAAAUGAAUGUGGAAACUUAAGCAAAAGGAGAGAAAGAGGGAGUUGUGAAGAACAUUUAGAAGCAGAGACAGGGUUUUGCCAUGUUGCCCAGGCUGGUCUCAAACUCCUCUGAUCAAAGAAUCUGCCCAUCUUAGCCUUCCAAAGUGCUGGGAUUAUAGGAGUGAGCCACUGUGCCCAGCCAUGGAUAAAACUUCAGAGAGGAACACCCUGGUCAGUUUGAUGAUUUGGGAGAUGGUUGGAAAGAAGCAGAUGGCAAGUGAGCAGGAAAAGGGAAGAAGAAUUGGUUAAAAGGAAAUUUGGACACAUUUGUUAGUUCAAUAAUGUAGUUCUUGUUCUUGGCCCCUUUUCACAUAGAAUGAAAAUGUUUACAAAAAACUUGGAAUAAAAUUAUACAAUACUUACAAUUA